CCUACGGGAGGCAGCAGUGAGGAAUAUUGGUCAAUGGGCGCGAGCCUGAACCAGCCAAGUCGCGUGAGGGAAGACGGUCCUAUGGAUUGUCAACCUCUUUUGUCGGGGAGCAAAAGACGCCACGCGUGGCGUUCCGAGAGUACCCGAAGAAAAAGCAUCGGCUAACUCCGUGCCAGCAGCCGCGGUAAUACGGAGGAUGCGAGCGUUAUCCGGAUUUAUUGGGUUUAAAGGGUGCGCAGGCGGCAGAUCAAGUCAGCGGUAAAAUUGAGAGGCUCAACCUCUUCGGGCCGGUGAAACGGGUUGUGGUGAGUGAGAGAGAAGUAGUAGGAAUGGGGGGGGUAGAGGGGAAUGGCAGAGAU
This 359-nucleotide ribosomal RNA is filed under the name uncultured bacterium. RNAcentral's name for it is "partial 16S ribosomal RNA". It matches the Rfam family "Bacterial small subunit ribosomal RNA", at positions 338 to 695 of the family's 1533-position model. The record is from RNAcentral.